UACAGAGGUGGCAAGCGUUGUUCGGAAUUACUGGGCGUAAAGGGCGCGUAGGCGGCCUGGUCAGUCCCGUGUGAAAUCCCUCGGCUCAACUGAGGAACUGCACGGGAAACAGCCUGGCUUGAGUUCGGGAGAGGGAAGCGGAAUUCCGGGUGUAGCGGUGAAAUGCGUAGAUAUCCGGAGGAACACCGGUGGCGAAGGCGGCUUCCUGGACCGACACUGACGCUGAGGCGCGAAAGCUAGGGGAGCAAACGGG
Molecule: ribosomal RNA, 253 nt
Filed under: uncultured bacterium
Lineage: Bacteria
Description: partial 16S ribosomal RNA
Rfam family: Bacterial small subunit ribosomal RNA
Source: RNAcentral